Molecule: non-coding RNA, 115 nt
Organism: Vibrio cholerae
Lineage: Bacteria; Pseudomonadati; Pseudomonadota; Gammaproteobacteria; Vibrionales; Vibrionaceae
Source: Rfam
UAACAUGACGCGGCUAGAGUUUUAGGACUCGUGGAUGGUUGUUUUAACAACUUGGUUAAGCCGAGGUAAGGCGUGAGGAAUUGCCGCAGUUCUAAGUCUGCCUCGGUUUUGCUAG